Seriola dumerili (greater amberjack) is the source of this 1779-nucleotide long non-coding RNA. RefSeq lists it as uncharacterized. The transcript has 5 exons. Lineage: Eukaryota; Metazoa; Chordata; Actinopteri; Carangiformes; Carangidae. The record is from RefSeq and is a predicted model, not a curated record.
CUCUCCUCCAGUCACAGGGAGACGCACACUACGUGCGUGAGUGCCCGCGUCAGUGGGGCCGGCCGGUCGUCUUAAAAAGGUUCGCACCUCUGUGCUGCAUGCAUGAAUACCAGCUGCCCUUUCUAUGAACCUGAGCUCCAACUUCGCAGUUUUUCAAGACUCGUUGACGAACGCCGCUGAGGAGACAACAUGGAAAAGUCAAACAGUUUGAAGCUUAAGAGCGACAAAGGGAAAUUGGUGACAGUCAAGAAUGUCAAUGGUCAAAUGGGACUGUGUGUUGAAGACGUUCAAAGUACUGGAGAAGAACACAAGGUAUACAUAUGGAGCCGAAGAAACAAAAAGCAGGUGGCUUUCGGCUGGAAGUGUGGAACUGGUGAUUACUACUUCCCAAAGGUGGUUAAGGACACCUCUGCUGAAAACAAGAUGAAGGACAAGCUGGAGUUGGUGAGGAGUGAUGUUCCAGAUGCUUUACCUGAAAGUUACUGGUUUGAGAUGGUAAACAACAGACGCGGUGCAUAUUACGGCCUGAAAUCUGUUGUCGCAUCCGCGGGAUACCUCGUCCUUUCAGACGCGAAACAGCACCUCUCCAUCAGUAAUAUGGCUGAUGAUCCUAAAUGUGUUUAUGUCAAGCAUGAAAGCAUAGAUUAAAAGGAUUCAACUCGUCAAUUUCCCUGGAUGAACUACUUCCUCUGCGCUCUGCCUGAUCUGCAGCUCUGGAACAAAAACACAGUGUACUUAUUUAGAUAAUUUGUUAUUCUUGUUUUUUUAAGCAUCUUCUUGUGUUCAAGUGUUCUUCUGAAAAUAUAAGGCUGUACUCUUGCAAUUAAUCACUGCACUCCAUAAAGUUGUAAAAUACAAUUGAGGCAUUGGAGGCUUAGUUAUCCCAAUUCUUAAUCCCUAAUAUGUGCCAAGCUCGAAAAAUAAUGGGUGCCAAACUUCCUGUGAUGUGAUAUUGUUGUUUUGUUAAGCGUUCCCUGAUGGUAAAUUCUGUUUAUUUAUUUUUUAAAUCUAUUUUGAUCCCCUGUAGCCAAUGUAUUGCAGCAGUGGGUACUCUUACUGGGGUCUCCAUACAUUUAGAAACAAUACUUCAAUGACAACAGAUAAAUUCUGUUAAACCUGUUGUUCAGCGACGCUCCAGACUUUCUGUCUGAGUUUGUUUGAACCCAACAAUAGCACUAAACGUACUUUCUUAGACUCCUCCUUAGUCUUAGUAGACAUAAUACAACCAUUUUUAAAGGCUGAGUUGUCCUCCACAUGACUCGUAACUGAUCUUUAUGUAUAAAAUUGGGAGUCUCCCUUUAAUGUGAAACUGUUCCUCAAAUUCUUCUGAUGUGUAGUGGGGAAGGGGCAUUUUCUUACUCUUCUAUUUUUUAUUUAUGACUAUUGUAUAUCUGUGAAUCAGGUUGGUGUUUUUUUAUAUACCAAAUGUUUAUUUUGUCCAGAAAUUAUUCUUUGUCAACUAGAGCUUCACACCAGUCUCUACUAAUGCAUUAGAAUUUGAUCAAAACCUACCAGCCUGAUUCAGACCUUGACGUCAGUCCUUUUUAUGCACAUUGCUCAUGUCAAAAAUGUGGUUGCGCAGUUAAAGCAAGUCCAUACUUAACCGGCAUUUAAACAACACCUGAAACUGAAAAAUCCACUCAAACUGAAGAGAAUUAUGUUUCCCAUAAUGUACCCUCUUUGAAGUUUUAUCCAUGCCAUUGGUUGUUGCAUACUUUUUCAUGUCUUGUCUUGCUGGUGUUGGAAAGGAAAAGCUUUAUAUAUACAGUACAGUAUAGU